Long non-coding RNA from Cavia porcellus (domestic guinea pig), 1392 nucleotides. RefSeq lists it as uncharacterized. The transcript has 3 exons. The record is from RefSeq and is a predicted model, not a curated record. Lineage: Eukaryota; Metazoa; Chordata; Mammalia; Rodentia; Caviidae.
ACAAUCACCACUUCCACCACUUUUUACUGGAGAAGUAGGCUGGCCCAGAUUCAGCAAGGGAGGAAGAAGGGCAUAAGCACCAGAAAAUGGGUGCAACUUGCAGGCCAUGUUGAAUGAUACCAAACACACAACACUGGAUGCAGCUGGUACAUGAAAAAAUCUGGAUUUGACUCCUUGAGAGGAGAGAUCAGGUAGAGAGAGACAAGAUGUUUUCUGCGUGUAAACACAAACACAUCACUUCAUUCUUAGGCUUCCAACAUCUGGAAGGGUGUGAAGACAAAACUCAUUUCCAGAAAACAAGAGUGACACGAGCGUAGAGGAUGGUGAAGAGCACUGCCUUUCCUGCAGAAUUCCAUCUUGGAGCAAACACCCCAACACCUUCCCUUGUUUACCUUUCUCUUUUGCUAGAGUCUUUUCUGCAGCCUGUCCAUUCCUCUGUGGGAGAACAGAGGCUCGGGACACUGUCCCAUCUUAUCCUGAGAGGAUUCCUCUCCUGAAGCAGAGAGGAGGCUCUUAUGUUCAGUAGUGAGUGCUAGUACUCACCAUUAGGUUCACAUUGAGGGCCAAAGCUCUGACCAACUCAGUACUCAUGUGUCAGCUUUCUGUUUCCAUGACAAAAUACCUGAGACAACAAUUUAAAGAAGGAAAGAUUUGUUUUGAUUUACACAGAUUCAGAUGUUUCAGGCCAUGAUUGUUUGGUUCUGUUGUUUUGUGGCCUGUAGCAAAAUAGAACAUCAUGUGGGGAGCAGAGCUCAUGACAGCUGGGAAGCAAAAAGAGAGAAAAAAGGGUACAGAGUCCCAAUAUGUGCUUCAAGGACAUAUACCAGGUGACCUAAUCUCUCUCCACUAGGUCCCAUAACCUCCCAGUGGCACCACUGGCCGGGACCAGGCCUUCCAUGCUUGGGCCUUUGGGAGACAUUAAGGAUCCAAACUCCAGCAACACCUGCUUCCAUUCUCUGCUAGAGACCUACACAGAGAAGGGACAGGGACUCAUUUAACAUUCUGAGGAGAGGAAAGGACAUCAACAGAACUUGAUUUCCAUCACCACUUUCGAUGUUCAGGACAGUCUCCCACCCAAGAAAUUCCCUUUAAGACUCGGUAUUUUCAUCUUUAAUAUGGGAAUAGUAACAUCUUUUUCACAGCCCAAACAAUCUUGGGCUGAAACAUCUGAAUCUGUAAGUCAAAAUCACAUCUUAUCUGAGAUGAGAUACCUGUAUCUGUUUAAAGAAGACCAAGAGUGAAACAUAUUCCUUUGACAGCUGGCUGACUCCCACUCCUCCCGAAACCUUUAAAAGUAUCAAUACCCUGAUUUCGAAGAUCUGGUCCUUAGCUUUGUAAGUGCAGAAUUUAGUUUCUUAGUUCACUUACAAAAAGCCUUAGAGGAUGUGUAGA